This 476-nucleotide ribosomal RNA is filed under the name uncultured bacterium. Its description in RNAcentral is "partial 16S ribosomal RNA". It matches the Rfam family "Bacterial small subunit ribosomal RNA", at positions 29 to 507 of the family's 1533-position model. The record is from RNAcentral.
AUUAACGCUGGCGGCGUGCAUAACACAUGCAAGUCGAACGAUGAAACUUAACUGAUUUCUUCGGAAUGAUUUUAAGUGGAUUAGUGGCGGACGGGUGAGUAACGCGUGAGUAACCUGCCUUGGAGAAGGGGAUAGCCUUUGGAAACGAAGAAUAAUACCCUAUGAUAUGAUAAUAUCUCAUGAUAUUAUCAUCAAAGAUUUAUCGCUCUAAGAUGGACUUGCGUCUGAUUAGUUAGUUGGUGAGGUAACAGCUCACCAAGGCAGCGAUCAGUAGCCGGCUUGAGAGAGUGUACGGCCACAUUGGGACUGCGACACGGCCCAGACUCCUACGGGAGGCAGCAGUGGGGAAUUUUGCACAAUGGGGGAAACCCUGAUGCAGCGACGCCGCGUGAUUUAGAAGGCCUUCGGGUUGUAAAAAUCUUUUGUAUGGGAAGAAAAUGACAGUACCAUACGAAUAAGGACCGGCUAAUUACGUG